This 450-nucleotide ribosomal RNA is filed under the name uncultured bacterium. RNAcentral describes it as "partial 16S ribosomal RNA". It matches the Rfam family "Bacterial small subunit ribosomal RNA", at positions 354 to 796 of the family's 1533-position model. The record is from RNAcentral.
GUAGGGAAUCUUCCACAAUGGACGCAAGUCUGAUGGAGCAACGCCGCGUGAGUGAAGAAGGUCUUCGGAUCGUAAAGCUCUGUUGUUGGUGAAGAAGGAUAGAGGCAGUAACUGGUCUUUAUUUGACGGUAAUCAACCAGAAAGUCACGGCUAACUACGUGCCAGCAGCCGCGGUAAUACGUAGGUGGCAAGCGUUGUCCGGAUUUAUUGGGCGUAAAGCGAGCGCAGGCGGAAUGAUAAGUCUGAUGUGAAAGCCCACGGCUCAACCGUGGAACUGCAUCGGAAACUGUCAUUCUUGAGUGCAGAAGAGGAGAGUGGAACUCCAUGUGUAGCGGUGGAAUGCGUAGAUAUAUGGAAGAACACCAGUGGCGAAGGCGGCUCUCUGGUCUGCAACUGACGCUGAGGCUCGAAAGCAUGGGUAGCGAACAGGAUUAGAUACCCGAGUAGUCC